RNAcentral lists this ribosomal RNA (751 nucleotides) under uncultured bacterium. RNAcentral's name for it is "bacterial SSU rRNA". It matches the Rfam family "Bacterial small subunit ribosomal RNA", at positions 8 to 757 of the family's 1533-position model. The record is from RNAcentral.
AGAGUUUGAUCCUGGCUCAGGAUGAACGCUAGCGGCAGGCCUAACACAUGCAAGUCGAGCGGUAUAGGCUCCUUCGGGAGCCUUGAGAGCGGCGCACGGGUGCGUAACGCGUAUGCAACCUACCCUUUACAGGGGAAUAGCCCGUCGAAAGGCGGAUUAAUGCCCCAUGGUCCUUAAGGAAGGCAUCUUCUGGAAGGUAAAGAUUCAUCGGUAAGGGAUGGGCAUGCGUGCCAUUAGCUGGAUGGUGGGGUAACGGCCCACCAUGGCAACGAUGGCUAGGGGUUCUGAGAGGAAGGCCCCCCACACUGGGACUGAGACACGGCCCAGACUCCUACGGGAGGCAGCAGUGAGGAAUAUUGGUCAAUGGGCGCAAGCCUGAACCAGCCAUGCCGCGUGCGGGAAGAAGGCGCUACGCGUCGUAAACCGCUUUUGUCCGGGGGUAACCGCGGGGACGAGUCCCCGCCUGCAAGUACCGGACGAAUAAGGGUCGGCUAACUCCGUGCCAGCAGCCGCGGUAAUACGGAGGACCCGAGCGUUAUCCGGAUUCAUUGGGUUUAAAGGGUGCGUAGGCGGCCCGGUCAGUCAGCGGUGAAAGGCUCCUGCUUCACAGGAGAGCUGCCGUUGAUACUGCUGGGCUAGAAUCUUAGCGAGGCGGGCGGAAUGCGCGGUGUAGCGGUGAAAUGCAUAGAUAUCGCGCAGAACGCCGAUGGGGAGCCAGCUCGCCAGCUGAGUAUUGACGCUGAGGCACGAA